Molecule: ribosomal RNA, 439 nt
Filed under: uncultured bacterium
Lineage: Bacteria
Description: partial 16S ribosomal RNA
Rfam family: Bacterial small subunit ribosomal RNA
Source: RNAcentral
CUACGGGCGGCUGCAGUGGGGAAUAUUGGACAAUGGGCGCAAGCCUGAUCCAGCCAUGCCGCGUGAGUGAUGACGGCCUUAGGGUUGUAAAGCUCUUUCAACGGUGAAGAUAAUGACGGUAACCGUAGAAGAAGCCCCGGCUAACUUCGUGCCAGCAGCCGCGGUAAUACGAAGGGGGCUAGCGUUGUUCGGAAUAACUGGGCGUAAAGCGCACGUAGGCGGAUUGUUAAGUGAGGGGUGAAAUCCCAGGGCUCAACCCUGGAACUGCCCUUCAUACUGGCAAUCUUGAGUUCGAGAGAGGUGAGUGGAAUUCCGAGUGUAGAGGUGAAAUUCGUAGAUAUUCGGAGGAACACCAGUGGCGAAGGCGGCUCACUGGCUCGAUACUGACGCUGAGGUGCGAAAGCGUGGGGAGCAAACAGGAUUAGAUACCCCAGUAGUC